GGGGAAUAUUGCACAAUGGGCGAAAGCCUGAUGCAGCAACGCCGCGUGAGUGAUGAAGGUCUUCGGAUUGUAAAGCUCUGUCUUUUGGGACGAUAAUGACGGUACCAAAGGAGGAAGCCACGGCUAACUACGUGCCAGCAGCCGCGGUAAUACGUAGGUGGCGAGCGUUGUCCGGAUUUACUGGGCGUAAAGGGCGCGUAGGCGGAUGUUUAAGUGAGAUGUGAAAUACCCGGGCUUAACUUGGGUGCUGCAUUUCAAACUGGAUAUCUAGAGUGCAGGAGAGGAGAAUGGAAUUCCUAGUGUAGCGGUGAAAUGCGUAGAGAUUAGGAAGAACACCAGUGGCGAAGGCGAUUCUCUGGACUGUAACUGACGCUGAGGCACGAAAGCGUGGGUAGCAAACAGGAUUAGAUACCCUGGUAGUCCACGCCGUAAACGAUGAGUACUAGGUGUAGGAGGUAUCGACCCCUUCUGUGCCGCAGUAAACA
This 485-nucleotide ribosomal RNA is filed under the name uncultured bacterium. RNAcentral's name for it is "partial 16S ribosomal RNA". It matches the Rfam family "Bacterial small subunit ribosomal RNA", at positions 356 to 857 of the family's 1533-position model. The record is from RNAcentral.